CAAUUCGUCUUACUCCGUUGUUGC
This 24-nucleotide non-coding RNA is filed under the name Arabidopsis thaliana (thale cress). Lineage: Eukaryota; Viridiplantae; Streptophyta; Magnoliopsida; Brassicales; Brassicaceae. The record is from RNAcentral.